RNAcentral lists this ribosomal RNA (305 nucleotides) under uncultured bacterium. RNAcentral's name for it is "bacterial SSU rRNA". It matches the Rfam family "Bacterial small subunit ribosomal RNA", at positions 333 to 636 of the family's 1533-position model. The record is from RNAcentral.
UCUGACCUACGGGGCGCAGCAGUGAGGAAUAUUGGUCAAUGGACGCAAGUCUGAACCAGCCAUGCCGCGUGCAGGAAGACGGCUCUAUGAGUUGUAAACUGCUUUUGUACGAGGGUAAACGCAGAUACGUGUAUCUGUCUGAAAGUAUCGUACGAAUAAGGAUCGGCUAACUCCGUGCCAGCAGCCGCGGUAAUACGGAGGAUUCAAGCGUUAUCCGGAUCUAUUGGGUUUAAAGGGUGCGCAGGCGGUCUGUUAAGUCAGCGGUCAAAGCCCGGGGCUCAACCCCGGCCCGCCGUUGAAACUGG